GAGUUUGAUCCUGGCUCAGGACGAACGCUGGCGGCGUGCCUAACACAUGCAAGUCGAACGAGGGUUUGGAAAGCUUGCUUUCCGAAACCUAGUGGCGGACGGGUGAGUAACGCGUGAGUAACCUGCCUUUCAGAGGGGAAUAACGUUCUGAAAAGAACGCUAAUACCGCAUAACGUACAGUUACCGCAUGGUAGCAGUACCAAAGGAGCAAUCCGCUGAAAGAUGGACUCGCGUCCGAUUAGCUAGUUGGUGGGGUAAAGGCCUACCAAGGCGACGAUCGGUAGCCGGACUGAGAGGUUGAACGGCCGCAUUGGGACUGAGACACGGCCCAGACUCCUACGGGAGGCAGCAGUGGGGGAUAUUGCACAAUGGGGGAAACCCCGAUGCAGCAACGCCGCGUGUGGGAAGAAGGUUUUCGGAUUGUAAACCACUGUUCUUGGUGAAGAUAAUGAUGGUAACCAAGGAGAAAGCUCCGGCUAACUACGUGCCAGCCGCCGCGGUAAUUC
This 506-nucleotide ribosomal RNA is filed under the name uncultured bacterium. RNAcentral describes it as "bacterial SSU rRNA". It matches the Rfam family "Bacterial small subunit ribosomal RNA", at positions 9 to 526 of the family's 1533-position model. The record is from RNAcentral.